Molecule: small nuclear RNA, 106 nt
Filed under: Castor canadensis (American beaver)
Lineage: Eukaryota; Metazoa; Chordata; Mammalia; Rodentia; Castoridae
Source: RNAcentral
AUGCUUGCUUCAGUAGCCCACACACUAAACUGAAACGAUACAGAGAAGAUUAACAUGAUCCCUGUACAAGGAUGCUAUGCAAAUUCAUGAAGUUUUCCAUAUUUUU